RNAcentral lists this ribosomal RNA (482 nucleotides) under uncultured bacterium. RNAcentral's name for it is "partial 16S ribosomal RNA". It matches the Rfam family "Bacterial small subunit ribosomal RNA", at positions 30 to 507 of the family's 1533-position model. The record is from RNAcentral.
AUUGAACGCUGGCGGCAUGCCUUACACAUGCAAGUCGAACGGUAACAGGUCUUCGGAUGCUGACGAGUGGCGCACGGGUGAGUAAUACAUCGGAACGUGCCCGAUCGUGGGGGAUAACGAGGCGAAAGCUUUGCUAAUACCGCAUACGAUCUACGGAUGAAUGCGGGGGAUCUUCGGACCUCGCGCGGACGGAGCGGCCGAUGGCAGAUUAGGUAGUUGGUGGGAUAAAAGCUUACCAAGCCGACGAUCUGUAGCUGGUCUGAGAGGAUGAUCAGCCACACUGGGACUGAGACACGGCCCAGACUCCUACGGGAGGCAGCAGUGGGGAAUUUUGGACAAUGGGCGAAAGCCUGAUCCAGCCAUGCCGCGUGCAGGAUGAAGGCCUUCGGGUUGUAAACUGCUUUUGUACGGAACGAAAAGCCUCUUUCUAAUAAAGAGGGGUCAUGACGGUACCGUAAGAAUAAGCACCGGCUAACUACGUG